GGUCCAUUCUCCAAAGGAAAAUAAAUAAAUGGAUAUUCAUUCAUUCUUUUGAAGUUUCAGGAGUUUUUUCUUCGCAUGUUUCUUCUCAAUAAUUUUUAAUCCAACUUCUUUUUCAACGCCUUUAUGGUGAAAGUUUAAUACCAAUAUGAGUGAACAUUUUUGGAGUAGUAUGGAAACUAUAAGCAAUUGAAAGUACCAAAAUUUAAUUUAAUAUAGCAGCAGAUCAUAUGACAAACGAAAUAAAUUUGGAAAUGGUUAAAUGGUUCCUCGAUGAUAGUACAAUCUACGUGUCAAGGCAAGG
This is a long non-coding RNA of Trifolium pratense (red clover), 301 nucleotides long. RefSeq lists it as uncharacterized. Lineage: Eukaryota; Viridiplantae; Streptophyta; Magnoliopsida; Fabales; Fabaceae. The record is from RefSeq and is a predicted model, not a curated record. The transcript is spliced from 5 exons.